GAUGAACGCUAGCUACAGGCUUAACACAUGCAAGUCGAGGGGAAACGACAUCGAAAGCUUGCUUUUGAUGGGCGUCGACCGGCGCACGGGUGAGUAACGCGUAUCCAACCUGCCCACCACUUGGGGAUAACCUUGCGAAAGUAAGACUAAUACCCAAUGAUAUCCCACGAAGGCAUCCGAAUGGGAUUAAAGAUUUAUCGGUGAUGGAUGGGGAUGCGUCUGAUUAGCUUGUUGGCGGGGUAACGGCCCACCAAGGCAACGAUCAGUAGGGGUUCUGAGAGGAAGGUCCCCCCACAUUGGAACUGAGACACGGUCCAAACUCCUACGGGAGGCAGCAGUGAGGAAUAUUGGUCAAUGGGCGAAAGCCUGAACCAGCCAAGUGGCGUGAGGGAAGACUGCCCUACGGGUUGUAAACCUCUUUUGUUUGGGAAUAAAGUGCGGGACGUGUCCCGCAUUGCAUGUACCAUUUGAAUAAGGACCGGCUAAUUCCGUG
Molecule: ribosomal RNA, 493 nt
Filed under: uncultured bacterium
Lineage: Bacteria
Description: bacterial SSU rRNA
Rfam family: Bacterial small subunit ribosomal RNA
Source: RNAcentral